This 89-nucleotide transfer RNA is filed under the name Camelus bactrianus (Bactrian camel). It matches the Rfam family "tRNA". Rfam says of the family: Transfer RNA (tRNA) molecules are approximately 80 nucleotides in length. Their secondary structure includes four short double-helical elements and three loops (D, anti-codon, and T loops). Further hydrogen bonds mediate the characteristic L-shaped molecular structure. tRNAs have two regions of fundamental functional importance: the anti-codon, which is responsible for specific mRNA codon recognition, and the 3' end, to which the tRNAs corresponding amino acid is attached (by aminoacyl-tRNA synthetases). tRNAs cope with the degeneracy of the genetic code in two manners: having more than one tRNA (with a specific anti-codon) for a particular amino acid; and 'wobble' base-pairing, i.e. permitting non-standard base-pairing at the 3rd anti-codon position. The record is from Rfam by way of RNAcentral. Lineage: Eukaryota; Metazoa; Chordata; Mammalia; Artiodactyla; Camelidae. RNAcentral also lists the same sequence under 2 other names.
GAGGGUAUAGCUCAAGUGGUAGAGUGCCUGCUUAGCUUGCUUAGCACCCUUAGCAUGGGAGGUCCUGGGUUCAAUUCCCAGUACCGCCU